Molecule: ribosomal RNA, 436 nt
Filed under: uncultured bacterium
Lineage: Bacteria
Description: partial 16S ribosomal RNA
Rfam family: Bacterial small subunit ribosomal RNA
Source: RNAcentral
AACGAACGCUGGCGGCAUGCCUAACACAUGCAAGUCGAACGAUGGUCUUCGGAUCAUAGUGGCGCACGGGUGCGUAACGCGUGGGAAUCUGCCCUUGGGUUCGGAAUAACAGUUGGAAACGACUGCUAAUACCGGAUGAUGUCGAUAAGACCAAAGAUUUAUCGCCCGAGGAUGAGCCCGCGUCGGAUUAGCUAGUUGGUGGGGUAAAGGCCUACCAAGGCGACGAUCCGUAGCUGGUCUGAGAGGAUGAUCAGCCACACUGGGACUGAGACACGGCCCAGACUCCUACGGGAGGCAGCAGUGGGGAAUAUUGGACAAUGGGCGCAAGCCUGAUCCAGCAAUGCCGCGUGAGUGAUGAAGGUCUUAGGGUUGUAAAGCUCUUUUACCCGGGAAGAUAAUGACUGUACCGGGAGAAUAAGCCCCGGCUAACUCCGUG